CAAGUGUCAGCUUCACACUCCUGCCGUUUCCCUCACAUUCAGUCACAGACUCAGGCUUGCUUAAUUCUUCACUGUGCCCAACAAACAACUGCAGUUCCACAGGUCCUGGGAUAACUCAGCCUCCCUAUAGCGGGAUUCUCCUGAUCCUGCAAACCUUCGUUAUAUCAGAAACAAAAGGAGGAGCGGGCUGAAAAGGACCAGUAUGAAGUAGACUGGCUGGGAACUUGAAACAGACACAAUCCUGGCUGCAGGCGCAAUUCUUCCUUCUCCUGAUGCCCUGGACAUCACAGAGUUACAGAGGAACCCA
This 307-nucleotide long non-coding RNA is filed under the name Fukomys damarensis (Damara mole-rat). RNAcentral's name for it is "lncRNA (ENSFDAG00000022307.1)". Lineage: Eukaryota; Metazoa; Chordata; Mammalia; Rodentia; Bathyergidae. The record is from RNAcentral.